CUGGCCCCGCCCCCGGCCUCCUCUCCUCCUGCUGGUGUUAUCAGUGCUCAGUGACACUGAUAAUCCUCUCCGUCUCUCCGCCUCGCCAGCCUAAAGCUCCGUGUCAGCGUCCGUUCCCCACAGCGCCCGACCCUUUACAGCCCGCCGGCUAACUAGGUCACCCCUAUCUCUCACUCUCUCUCUCUCUAUUUCACUCUCUCUCUCUCUCUUACACUCUCUCUCUCUUUUCUCUUUAUCACUUUAUCUGUACCUCUCUCAUUCUCUCUCUCUCACUCUCUUUUUAUCUCCCUCUCUCUCUCUACCUCUCUCUAUUUCACUCUCUCUUUCUCUAUUUCUCUCUCUCUCAUUUCUUUGUCUCUAUCUCUCUCUGUACCUCUCUCAUUCUCUUCCGUUUACUUGCUCUCACUUUCUCUCCCUAUUUCUGUCUUUCUCUAUCUGUCUUUCACUCUAUCUCUACCUCUCUCUCACUCUAUCUCUACACUCUCUGGAUUUCAGAUUCUCUCUCACUCUAACUAUCUCACACCCUCUUUUGUCUUUUUUUCUUUUCUCUGUUUUCUCUUUUUUAAUCUCAUAUUUAAUCUCAUCUUUCUGUCUUUCUCUCUCUCUCUCUCUCUCUCUCUCUCUCUCUCUCUUUACCUGUCUAUCUCUACCUCUCUCAUUCUCCCUUUCUCUCUCUGUUUCUCUCUCUGUCUCUCUUUCUACCUCUCUCCCUCUCCCUCUUCUCGCUGCCUCUCCUGUUUUCAUAUUUUCGGUUUCUUACUCUCUCACAUCACAUUCUCUCUCUCUCUCUCAGUCCCUCUCUCUCAGAUUCUCUCUUUCUUUUCCUGUCUCUUGUUCUCUCACCAUCAUCAUAUUUUCUCUUUCUGUUAAAUACCUUUUUUUUCUGUCUAUCUCUCUCACUCUCUCACCAUCAUGUUAUCAUAUGUUUGCUCCCUCUAUCUUUCUUAAUUUUUCACCUUUACAUUUUUCAUUAUCUCAUUCAUUCUCUAUUAUCUCUCUUUUACUCUGUCACUCAUUUUUCUCUCUAAUGCCUUAAGUCUGCCUCUUUUUCAACUGCUGCCAAUCAAUGCUGCAUCACUGGGUAGCCAGCUACCCACCCGAAGAGAGCAUGGUUAAUUGUGCUCUCUCUCAGACUCCGGCUGCUGAAGCCUUUGUAGGUUCUUUGUGGGGUCCAUAAUCCUACAGGUCAGUGCAGUUCUGG
Molecule: long non-coding RNA, 1201 nt
Filed under: Astyanax mexicanus (Mexican tetra)
Lineage: Eukaryota; Metazoa; Chordata; Actinopteri; Characiformes; Acestrorhamphidae
Description: lncRNA (ENSAMXG00005005267.1)
Source: RNAcentral